UUUUUUUUUUUUUUUAACGUAAUAAUAUCUUUAUUGCAUAUUUGCUGUAACAAUUUACUAAGUUUACAGCUUGUAACUUAGUAUCCCUCAUGUUAGUUUACCUAAUAGUUUAGGGAAGCACUAUUUGGUAAGAUAUAACUAAUUCAUAAUAUUAGUAUCUAUAGUACAAUUGAUUUCACAAUUAUAUAUUAAAAUAAAUAUUGUGAAUACACAUACAGAUCUUUGUUAAAUAAUUUCCUUCCCUAUUUUUAUACAUUAACUUUUCCGGAAUCUUUUCCGUUAUCGAUUUUAUCAAAUGAUCCGUAUUCCAUUGAAAGAAAUUGGGCAUAGUUAGUGUUGUCUCAACAAGCAUGUGCGUUAUCGCAUUAUUGAUUGUGUCUAAAUAUUCUUAUAUAAACAGGAUUUAACUUAUUUUAUAAAAUUUGGUAAGUAUGCAAUUUUUGUUUAAGUUUCUACUGAUCUAUGGUAUGUCGUCGUGUAUAUGUAUUACACAAGUAAGUCAUUCAUUUUAGCGUGCACAAUUCACAAUUUGUCUACACUAGAAUAAAUUAUUAAAUAAUCGUGAUUACACAUGUUUAUCUUUUUUUCCCCCUAUAAUGUUUAUGAAUAAAACAACAAUAUGUACCAUGUCGUUACUUAUGCAUGGUUGAACAUUUUUACAAACAUGCCAACAUGCAUGAUUGAACUUGUGAAUAAACAUGACCAUAUAUGGCUUGUAAACAAUUAACAAUUGUGUUUACAAAUUACUAUGUUUUAACUUUUUAUAAAAUAAUGUUUCAAACAUUUAAAUUGAUUUAAUUCUGAUUUUUUUUUUAAAUCUUCAAUGAAUCUAUUUGUUUUUAGAAUUGUCUUACUAUUAUUUUUGUUAUUAAAAUUGUUCAUUUCAAUAAUAUCUGAAAUUUCUUUUUGGAAAAUUUUCAAAAUGUUUAUUUUUUUUUGUUUCUUUUCUGAGACAUAAUAUGCUUUAUAUAAUGAAAAGGAUAUUAUUGUUAGUAUGUAGUUAAUAUCAAAGUAUGCUGAGUCUUCAAUUUUGUACCCUAUUACUAGAUUUUCAAGACUUAUAAUGUUUUUGUCUAUACCUAGGGAGUUCAUUAAUUUCAUUGCUAUUUUUAGGAAGUCUGUAUUAAAUAAGCAGUUGACAAAAAAGUGUUCAUAGUUAUCUUUUUCUUUACAAUGUUUACAUAAGUUGUCUUCAGUAAUUUUCCACUUUUUUAAUAGUUCAUUGCAUGGCAGAAUAUAG
Molecule: long non-coding RNA, 1240 nt
Filed under: Mytilus galloprovincialis (Mediterranean mussel)
Lineage: Eukaryota; Metazoa; Mollusca; Bivalvia; Mytilida; Mytilidae
Source: RNAcentral